GCAUAUCAAUAAGCGGAGGAAAAGAAACCAACAGGGAUUGCCCUAGUAACGGCGAGUGAAGCGGCAACAGCUCAAAUUUGAAAUCUGGCCCUCGGGUCCGAGUUGUAAUUUGUAGAGGAUGCUUUUGGUGCGGUGCCUUCCGAGUUCCCUGGAACGGGACGCCAUAGAGGGUGAGAGCCCCGUCUGGUUGGACGCCAAUCCUCUGUAAAGCUCCUUCGACGAGUCGAGUAGUUUGGGAAUGCUGCUCUAAAUGGGAGGUAUAUGUCUUCUAAAGCUAAAUAUUGGCCAGAGACCGAUAGCGCACAAGUAGAGUGAUCGAAAGAUGAAAAGCACUUUGAAAAGAGAGUUAAAAAGUACGUGAAAUUGUUGAAAGGGAAGCGCUCAUGACCAGACUUGGGCUUGGUAGAUCAACCUGGGUUCUCCCUGGUGCACUCUUCCUCGUUCAGGCCAGCAUCAGUUCGUUGCGGGGGAUAAAGGCUUCGGGAAUGUGGCUCCCUAGGGAGUGUUAUAGCCCGUUGCGUAAUACCCUGUGGUGGACUGAGGUUCGCGUUCUGCAAGGAUGCUGGCGUAAUGGUUAUCAGUGACCCGUCUUGAAACACGGACCAAGGAGUCGUCUUCGUAUGCGAGUGUUCGGGUGUUAAACCCCUACGCGUAAUGAAAGUGAACGCAGGUGAGAGCUUCGGCGCAUCAUCGACCGAUCCUGAUGUUCUCGGAUGGAUUUGAGUAAGAGCAUACGGGGCCGGACCCGAAAGAAGGUGAACUAUGCCUGUAUAGGGUGAAGCCAGAGGAAACUCUGGUGGAGGCUCGCAGCGGUUCUGACGUGCAAAUCGAUCGUCAAAUAUGGGCAUGGGGGCGAAAGACUAAUCGAACCUUCUAGUAGCUGGUUUCCGCCGAAG
RNAcentral lists this ribosomal RNA (896 nucleotides) under Mariannaea catenulata. RNAcentral's name for it is "partial large subunit ribosomal RNA". It matches the Rfam family "Eukaryotic large subunit ribosomal RNA", at positions 38 to 966 of the family's 3401-position model. The record is from RNAcentral. Lineage: Eukaryota; Fungi; Ascomycota; Sordariomycetes; Hypocreales; Nectriaceae.